Molecule: ribosomal RNA, 250 nt
Filed under: uncultured bacterium
Lineage: Bacteria
Description: partial 16S ribosomal RNA
Rfam family: Bacterial small subunit ribosomal RNA
Source: RNAcentral
UACGUAGGGUGCGAGCGUUAAUCGGAAUUACUGGGCGUAAAGCGUGCGCAGGCGGUUCGUUGUGUCGGCGGUGAAAGCCCCGGGCUUAACCUGGGAAUGGCCGUUGAAACUGGCGAACUGGAGUGUGGCAGAGGGGGGUGGAAUUCCGCAUGUAGCAGUGAAAUGCGUAGAGAUGCGGAGGAACACCGAUGGCGAAGGCAGCCCCCUGGGCUAACACUGACGCUCAGGCACGAAAGCGUGGGGAGCAACA